UUUUGAGAGAUAGUUUCUCACUCUGUCACCCAAGCUGAGUGCAGUGGGAAGAUCAUAGCUCACUGUACCCUUCAACUCCUAGGCUCGAGUGGUCCUCCUGCAUUAGCCUCCUGAAUAUCUGGGACUACAAGCGUGCACCACCACGCC
Molecule: long non-coding RNA, 147 nt
Organism: Sapajus apella (tufted capuchin)
Lineage: Eukaryota; Metazoa; Chordata; Mammalia; Primates; Cebidae
Exons: 3
Source: RefSeq, a predicted model, not a curated record